UCCCUGGUGGCUCAGACGGUUAAGAAUCUGCCUGCAAUGCAGGAGACCCAGGUUCGAUUCCAGGAUGGGGAA
Molecule: transfer RNA, 72 nt
Filed under: Bos taurus (domestic cattle)
Lineage: Eukaryota; Metazoa; Chordata; Mammalia; Artiodactyla; Bovidae
Also listed under: 3 other names
Rfam family: tRNA
About the family: Transfer RNA (tRNA) molecules are approximately 80 nucleotides in length.
Source: Rfam by way of RNAcentral